AGGAAGAUAAGAAAACAAAACUCUUUCGAAUUCUGUAUAUACACUCUUUGUUAUCUGCUUUUUGGUCAUUAUUGAUGUUUUUGUUUUGUCUGGACAGGGUUAAAUUCUUUGAAUUAAAAACUCAUUGAACUCAACAAUUGGAUUGAAGAAGGACUCUGAACAUACUGGUCUAUUGAAUACCUUUUGCUUUGCAAAUGGUUUUUAAAUCUAUGUUUAAACAACUUGGUAGUUUCGAAGGUGGAGAUUAGUACCAAGCAUUACACAAUCCUGGAACAUCUUCAACCCCAUUUUCGCCUUCUGAGUCUUCUGAAUCACCAUCGUCCGAACUGCUACUACAUUGCUGGAAUCGGAAGAGCAUUUGGUUUCUUUUGCCUAGCAAGGAAUUUUGCAAGACGGAACUGUGUUUUUGGUCUAUGAUGUUCAUAUAUUUUACCAUGUUUUC
Long non-coding RNA from Camelina sativa (false flax), 442 nucleotides. RefSeq lists it as uncharacterized. The record is from RefSeq and is a predicted model, not a curated record. NCBI's taxonomy places the organism in Eukaryota, Viridiplantae, Streptophyta, Magnoliopsida, Brassicales, Brassicaceae.